CGCACAUUGCACCCUCUGGUAUUCCAGAGGGUAUGCCUGUUUGAGCGUCAUUUCUCUCUCAAACCUUUGGGUUUGGUAUUGAGUGAUACUCUGUCAAGGGUUAACUUGAAAUAUUGAAUUAGCAAGAGUGUACCUGUCAGUACUCCUUCUGUAAUAAUGUAUUAGGUUCUUCCAACUCGUUAUAUCAGCUAGGCAGUUAUUGCAAGUAUUUUAGGCUCGGCUUAACAACAAUAACAUAAAGUUUGACCUCAAAUCAGGUAGGACUACCCGCUGAACUUAA
RNAcentral lists this unclassified non-coding RNA (280 nucleotides) under Hansenula sydowiorum. RNAcentral's name for it is "Wickerhamomyces sydowiorum partial contains 5.8S ribosomal RNA, internal transcribed spacer 2, and large subunit ribosomal RNA". The record is from RNAcentral. Lineage: Eukaryota; Fungi; Ascomycota; Saccharomycetes; Phaffomycetales; Wickerhamomycetaceae.